Molecule: transfer RNA, 62 nt
Filed under: Tenebrionoidea sp. 10 KM-2017
Lineage: Eukaryota; Metazoa; Arthropoda; Insecta; Coleoptera
Description: tRNA-Arg
Source: RNAcentral
GAAAAGGAAGCAAAAAAUUGCACUUAGUUUCGACCUAAUCUUUGGAUCCUUUCCCCUUUUCU